This 66-nucleotide transfer RNA is filed under the name Krisna concava. RNAcentral's name for it is "tRNA-Trp". Lineage: Eukaryota; Metazoa; Arthropoda; Insecta; Hemiptera; Cicadellidae. The record is from RNAcentral.
AAGAUUUUAAGUUAAUUUAAACUGUUAACCUUCAAAGUUAUUAAUAUUAAGAUUUAAUAGAUCUUA